AACCUAGCACACCUGCGGUGUGUACCUGCGGAAGGAUCAUUAUUGAAUUCAUAUAUAUAUGCAAAAGAGUUGUGCUGGUAGUUAUUACAUGUGCACACUCUGGAGCUAUAUAAACAUAUACACACCUCUGUGAACUAACUGUAGUCAGAAGGAAUUCUGAUUAUGAUUAAACUCUAUAUAACUCUUAUUGUAAUGUUACAUAGAACGAUCUCAUAUUGAAACUUUUCUCUCUUUUGUAGA
This 240-nucleotide unclassified non-coding RNA is filed under the name soil metagenome. RNAcentral's name for it is "partial contains 5.8S ribosomal RNA, internal transcribed spacer 2, and large subunit ribosomal RNA". The record is from RNAcentral.